This 443-nucleotide ribosomal RNA is filed under the name uncultured bacterium. Its description in RNAcentral is "partial 16S ribosomal RNA". It matches the Rfam family "Bacterial small subunit ribosomal RNA", at positions 338 to 795 of the family's 1533-position model. The record is from RNAcentral.
CCUACGGGAGGCUGCAGUGGGGAAUAUUGGGCAAUGGGCGCAAGCCUGACCCAGCAACGCCGCGUGAAGGAAGAAGGCUUUCGGGUUGUAAACUUCUUUUCUCAGGGACGAAGCAAGUGACGGUACCUGCGGAAUAAGCCACGGCUAACUACGUGCGAGCAGCCGCGGUAAUACGUAGGGGGCAAGCGUUAUCCGGAUUUACUGGGUGUAAAGGGCGUGUAGGCGGGAAAGUAAGUCAGAUGUGAAAACCAUGGGCUCAACCUGUGGCCUGCAUUUGAAACUGUUUUUCUUGAGUACUGGAGAGGCAGACGGAAUUCCUAGUGUAGCGGUGAAAUGCGUAGAUAUUAGGAGGAACACCAGUGGCGAAGGCGGUCUGCUGGACAGCAACUGACGCUGAGGCGCGAAAGCGUGGGGAGCAAACAGGAUUAGAUACCCUAGUAGUC